GGCUUAGAGUUUGAUCAUGGCUCAGGAUGAACGCUGGCGGCGUGCCUAACACAUGCAAGUCGAGCGAAGCACUUUGCUUUGAAUCUUUCGGGAGGACGAGUGAUUUGACUGAGCGGCGGACGGGUGAGUAACGCGUGGGCAACCUGCCUCACACAGGGGGAUAACAGUUAGAAAUGACUGCUAAUACCGCAUAAGGCCACAGCACCGCAUGGUGCAGGGGUAAAAACUCCGGUGGUGUGAGAUGGGCCCGCGUCUGAUUAGGUAGUUGGUGAGGUAACGGCUCACCAAGCCGACGAUCAGUAGCCGACCUGAGAGGGUGACCGGCCACAUUGGGACUGAGACACGGCCCAAACUCCUACGGGAGGCAGCAGUGGGGAAUAUUGCGCAAUGGGGGAAACCCUGAUGCAGCGACGCCGCGUGAGCGAUGAAGUAUUUCGGUAUGUAAAGCUCUAUCAGCAGGGAAGAAACUGACGGUACCUGACUAAGAAGCACCGGCUAAAUGCGUGCCAGCAGCCGCGGUAAUACGUAUGGUGCAAGCGUUAUCCGGAUUUACUGGGUGUAAAGGGAGCGUAGACGGACUUGCAAGUCUGAAGUGAAAGCCCGGGGCUCAACCCCGGGACUGCUUUGGAAACUGUAGGUCUAGAGUGCUGGAGAGGUAAGUG
Molecule: ribosomal RNA, 662 nt
Filed under: uncultured organism
Description: bacterial SSU rRNA
Rfam family: Bacterial small subunit ribosomal RNA
Source: RNAcentral